CAACAAAGUGAAGUCAAUGAUAUAGGACAAUGAUUUUACACUACAAGGGGGGUUGCUAAGCUAAAAUCUAGGCUUUUGCUAAAAAACUCAUUUUAUAUAUUUGGUUAUUUUGGGUUCUGAGAGCAUGAAGUGCAAUGAAAUGGUCUCUCACCUGUGUGGGUGGGUAGGUGUCGGUUCAGAUGAUUCUUUUGUGUGAAGCUCUGAGGGCAUGCAGGGCACUGAAACGGUCUCUCGCCAGUGUGGGUGCGCAGGUGUUGGUUCAAGAUAUUCUUUCGUGAGAAGCUCUGAGGGCAUGAAGGGCACUGAAAUGGCCUGUCGCCUGUGUGGAUGCGCACAUGAUCUUUCAGUGUGGACUUGUGCGAGAACCUCUGAAAGCAAGAAGGGCACU
Long non-coding RNA from Dermacentor silvarum, 388 nucleotides. RefSeq lists it as uncharacterized. The transcript is spliced from 3 exons. NCBI's taxonomy places the organism in Eukaryota, Metazoa, Arthropoda, Arachnida, Ixodida, Ixodidae. The record is from RefSeq and is a predicted model, not a curated record.